GUCGAACGGAAAGGCCCUUCGGGGUACUCGAGUGGCGAACGGGUGAGUAACACGUGGGUGAUCUGCCCUGCACUUUGGGAUAAGCCUGGGAAACUGGGUCUAAUACCGAAUAGGACCGCAUGCUUCAUGGUGUGUGGUGGAAAGCUUUUGCGGUGUGGGAUGGGCCCGCGGCCUAUCAGCUUGUUGGUGAGGUAAUGGCUUACCAAGGCGACGACGGGUAGCCGGCCUGAGAGGGUGACCGGCCACACUGGGACUGAGAUACGGCCCAGACUCCUACGGGAGGCAGCAGUGGGGAAUAUUGCACAAUGGGCGCAAGCCUGAUGCAGCGACGCCGCGUGAGGGAUGACGGCCUUCGGGUUGUAAACCUCUUUCGCCAGGGACGAAGCGCAAGUGACGGUACCUGGAGAAGAAGGACCGGCCAACUACGUGCCAGCAGCCGCGGUAAUACGUAGGGUCCGAGCGUUGUCCGGAAUUACUGGGCGUAAAGAGCUCGUAGGUGGUUUGUCGCGUUGUUCGUGAAAACUCACAGCUUAACUGUGGGCGUGCGGGCGAUACGGGCAGACUUGAGUACUGCAGGGGAGACUGGAAUUCCUGGUGUAGCGGUGGAAUGCGCAGAUAUCAGGAGGAACACCGGUGGCGAAGGCGGGUCUCUGGGCAGUAACUGACGCUGAGGAGCGAAAGCGUGGGGAGCGAACAGGAUUAGAUACCCUGGUAGUCCACGCCGUAAACGGUGGGUACUAGGUGUGGGUUUCCUUCCUUGGGAUCCGUGCCGUAGCUAACGCAUUAAGUACCCCGCCUGGGGAGUACGGCCGCAAGGCUAAAACUCAAAGAAAUUGACGGGGGCCCGCACAAGCGGCGGAGCAUGUGGAUUAAU
Molecule: ribosomal RNA, 874 nt
Filed under: uncultured Mycobacterium sp.
Lineage: Bacteria; Bacillati; Actinomycetota; Actinomycetes; Mycobacteriales; Mycobacteriaceae
Description: bacterial SSU rRNA
Rfam family: Bacterial small subunit ribosomal RNA
Source: RNAcentral